Molecule: ribosomal RNA, 276 nt
Filed under: uncultured bacterium
Lineage: Bacteria
Description: partial 16S ribosomal RNA
Source: RNAcentral
CUGCUGCCUUCCGUAGGAGUCUGGGCCGUGUCUCAGUCCCAGUGUGGGGGGCCUUCCUCUCAGAACCCCUACGCAUCGUCGCCACGGUGGGCCGUCACCCCGCCGUCUAGCUAAUGCGCCGCAUGCCCAUCCGCCACCGGAUCGCUCCUUUGGCCACCCGGAGGAUGCCCUCCGGUGGCGUCACGGGGUAUUAGGCCGCGUUUCCGCGGGUUAUCCCCCUGUGGCGGCCGGGUUGCAUACGUGUUACUCACCCGUGCGCCGGUCGCCGGCGGGACG